RNAcentral lists this non-coding RNA (91 nucleotides) under Saccharopolyspora spinosa NRRL 18395. RNAcentral describes it as "DUF3800-IV RNA". It matches the Rfam family "DUF3800-IV RNA". Lineage: Bacteria; Bacillati; Actinomycetota; Actinomycetes; Pseudonocardiales; Pseudonocardiaceae. The record is from Rfam by way of RNAcentral.
UCGGCUUCUCAAGCGCCUGCCAAGGACAGCCAGCGGUGCUGCCACCGCCCUCCUUCAGUGGAUCGGCCCUUGGAGGCUCUUGGGGAGCCGA